This 207-nucleotide ribosomal RNA is filed under the name uncultured bacterium. RNAcentral's name for it is "partial 16S ribosomal RNA". It matches the Rfam family "Bacterial small subunit ribosomal RNA", at positions 568 to 774 of the family's 1533-position model. The record is from RNAcentral.
CGUGUAGGCGGUUUGAUAAGUCAGAUGUUAAAGCCCCCGGCUUAACCGGGGAUCGUCAUUUGAAACUGUCAGGUUUGAGUGCGAGAGAGGGUAGUGGAAUUCCCAGUGUAGCGGUGAAAUGCGUAGAUAUUGGGAAGAACACCAGUAGCGAAGGCGGCUACCUGGCUCGCAACUGACGCUAAGGCGCGAAAGCGUGGGGAGCAAACA